RNAcentral lists this ribosomal RNA (429 nucleotides) under uncultured bacterium. RNAcentral's name for it is "bacterial SSU rRNA". It matches the Rfam family "Bacterial small subunit ribosomal RNA", at positions 355 to 776 of the family's 1533-position model. RNAcentral also lists the same sequence under 1 other name. The record is from RNAcentral.
UAGGGAAUCUUCCACAAUGGGCGAAAGCCUGAUGGAGCAACGCCGCGUGUGUGAUGAAGGCUUUCGGGUCGUAAAGCACUGUUGUAUGGGAAGAACAGCUAGAAUAGGGAAUGAUUUUAGUUUGACGGUACCAUACCAGAAAGGGACGGCUAAAUACGUGCCAGCAGCCGCGGUAAUACGUAUGUCCCGAGCGUUAUCCGGAUUUAUUGGGCGUAAAGCGAGCGCAGACGGUUGAUUAAGUCUGAUGUGAAAGCCCGGAGCUCAACUCCGGAAUGGCAUUGGAAACUGGUUAACUUGAGUGCAGUAGAGGUAAGUGGAACUCCAUGUGUAGCGGUGGAAUGCGUAGAUAUAUGGAAGAACACCAGUGGCGAAGGCGGCUUACUGGACUGUAACUGACGUUGAGGCUCGAAAGUGUGGGUAGCAAACAGG